This 5345-nucleotide long non-coding RNA is filed under the name Sus scrofa (pig). Its description in RNAcentral is "lncRNA (ENSSSCG00050052744.1)". Lineage: Eukaryota; Metazoa; Chordata; Mammalia; Artiodactyla; Suidae. The record is from RNAcentral.
CUUGCUGAACUAUAAAACCAUAAAUAAAACCACAAGACAUGCCUGCGGUCAGUAAGUGAAAGAUAAAAUGAGGCCGGCAUCCAAGUUCAGCAGGAUAAUGAUCCCUGGAGCCAAGAACAGGAAUUUAAGGAAAAUAUGACAUUCCAAAGUAGGAGACCCUCAUUAUAUGGAAACCUGAGGUGAUUCAACUAUUUCAGCACAUGUUACCACCCUUCUGCUGACUUGAAUAAGCACCAUGACAGUCCUAGUUGGACCUCAUAGGGUCAAAUACUCUCUUAGCCAGCAUGACGGAGGAGCUAGUGAUGUAAGACUGACGUCUACUUGAAGGAUGAGGGAGGGGGACGUUUCUCCCUCCCCGUUUUCCUUGGAUUAUAAAAACAUAGCCCACUUAAUCCUCAGGGCAGAGCCUUCUCGCUCGCUCACUUGUAUCCCUCACUCGUGUCCUGUCUUAAUAAAUCUUGCCUGUAACUUUGUCUCUCACUGAAUUCCUUUUGCACUGAGACACAAAGAACUGAACCUUAAUAAAUCCAGAUACCAAGUGAGUGAUUCCAACUUAAAAACGCAGGUUCAAGUCCCAAUCUGACUUUUGGCUGGGGUUGAGGCCCAGCACAUAGGUUCAAGUCACAAUCUGGAUUCUGGCUAGGUUCAAGUCAGAGUUGUUUUCGGUUUCAGUAUGACUUGGUUUUUACAGCAGAGGAUCACACUGCCACUGAUUUGCUCUGUGAACCUGAGCCGGUUACCUAACCUCUCAGAGUUUCAGCAUCCUCUUGGAAAAAAAAGACAGUGUUACUUUCCUUGAAGGAAUUGCUAAGAGGAUUUGGAAUCAAGUGUUUCAUGCCAGGUGAGGGGAAGGGAUGCACCAUUAUCAUCAUCAUCAUUGUGGGGUUCAACCCUCCCCCCACAUGCUGCAGGAACACAAGAAGCUUCAGUCCUCCUCUCACCGAGAGCUUCAUUUCUUCCUUUAUAAAACUGGAGGGCGAAUCAAGCUAGAAAAGUACCAAAGAUUGCUGGCUCCCUUCACACAAUGUAACACUGGAAACUCCCAAAAUAGAGAAAGAGAGGUUGAAGGAUCUAUAAAACUACAAUAAAGAGGUUCCCAUUCUGGCACAGCAGAAAUAAAUCCAACUCGUAUUAUGACGACGUGGGUCCAAUCCCUGGCUUCACUCAGUGAGUCAGGGAUCUGGCACUGCCAUGAGCUGAGAUGUAGGUCACAGAUGCUGUUUGGAUCCUGAAGCAAGAGAAGGAGGUUGUGUGCCCUGAAAGUGGGGUGCAGUGAGGAAGAAAGACAGAGGAGAAGAUGUGCGGGGCAGACCACUGCAAGCCAAGAGUAUCAGAAUAGCACAUAGGCCAGCUGAGGUGGGAGCAGCUAAAACACAUGCACCCCAACUAGACCCUGCUUCUUCCCACAUCUUUGUACCCCAAAGCCGGUAUUUUCAAUGGAAGGAGAAAAAAAUCUUAAAGAGAAUCAACGCCAGGGAAGAAGUAGGGUUUGCAAGUGUAAAGUUUCUCUGCUUCGAGAAGCAAUGCUCCUUUCCCUUCCUCUAAACUCACCAAGAGAAGCUCCAGCCAAGAUCUGCCAGUUAGCCUUCAGUGCUAACAGAACCAGAGACCUAUCAGUUCACAGGGGAGAAUAACACAAUAGUUGAGGAAUAAAAUGACUAGUAAUAACAGCAAAGUCUUACCCAACACUAUGUGCGUGAGACGUGGUACUAUGUCUGCAAGUAUCAGUCUAUUCAAUCCUCACCACUGCUCCAUUACCCCAAUUUUUAAGUAUGACAAAGAGGAAGCAGAGAAAGGUUAAGUUCUCUGCCCAAGAUUACACAGCUGGGCACUGGCAGGGCUGGACUUCAAACGCAGGCAGUCUGGCUCCCAUUAAAAAAGAAAACUCGGAGUUCCCGUCAUGGCGCAGUGGUUAACGAAUCCGACUAGGAACCAUGAGGUUGCGGGUUCGAUCCUUGGCCUCGCUCAGUGGGUUAAGGAUCCAGCGUUGCCGUGAGCUGUGGUGUAGGCUGCAGACGUGGCUCGGAUCCUGCGUUGCUGUGGCUCUGGUGUAGGCCAGUGACUACAGCUCCAAUUUGACCCCUAGCCUGGGAACCUCCAAAUGCCGUGAGAGCAGCCCUAGAAAAGGCAAAAAGACCAAAAAAAAAGAAAAAAGAAACUAAAAAAGUCAUGAACACAUCUGCAUUCAAGAAGAUAGCAUCUUACAAGUAUGCUAAUUUGAAUGUUAUGGAUUUAUGUUCCUGCAGUCCUGGAGACAGUAAAAAGGUCCCCAAAUGCGUCAGUACUCCUUGUCAUUUUCUUAAUCCUGCCCAGACUUCUGUAGGUCAUUCGUUCAUUAAAAUACCUUCAACUGAAUCAUCUGAGCUGAAUUCUGUUUUUAACACAGAAUUGACUGAUACAAUCUUAUAAUUCAACCACCUCUGGAAACAAAAGUCUAUGUUUGUAAAGAGAAUAGACAGAAAAAGCGCAGUGUAUGGAUUCCGGAGUUGGAUAGAGCUUGCGUCUCAGCCCCACUGCUUACCAUAUGUGUGACCCUAGGCAAAAAUGUUCAAAAUCUCUGAGCUACGGCUUCCACAAAUAUAAGUGAUUUUUUAAUAACCAAGCAAGAAAGUUGGUGGUGACAGGAAUACUAGAACAGUAGGAGUGGUAAUACGAACCCUGAUGACAAUACUAAUAAUAAAAGAAAUUGUGAUUCAUAAAAUUAGUAUUGGACUGUUUGUAGUGCGAAUGAUCCUUCCUGGUCAGUCAUACUAUGUACGUAAAAGCAAGGGAUGUAUUCUUUCUUCAAUACCAAUUUAUAAUUCUGGUACUUGAUGAGUGUGCAAAACACUCAUACCUGAUGAAUUGCUUUAUCUACCUUUGAGGCAAAAUAUCUAAUAUUACGAAGCAACACUCUCAGCAGAUCUUAUUCUGAAUACAUUCAGAUGAGGUUGCAUAGAGUCAGCUACACUAUGUUUGGAUGUCAGAGAAAAUGCCAAGACCUGGAUAACAGUGGAUCAAAAGAGAAGAGAGAAAUAUGACACCAGAGUGAGAAAAUAAAUAAAAGAUUCUUUGUAUAGAAGAAAGGAGAUGUGUUCAUCAAACAAGCAGUUUGGUGGCAUUUUGAGGAUUAAAAAAAGAGAGAUGUGCAAACAUGACAGGCGGUAAAAAUUCAACAAGAAACAGGAAAUGAAGAGGAUGAGGCAUAGAAAAUACAGAAAGGCAAAUUCUCAGUAAACGCUGAAAUCAAAGAUCCUCCUGCCCCCAUCAGAAACCCACUCCGCUCUUCCUGCUGGGAGGCAGAGCACUCUGGAAUCCUUCUGUAAGCCUCAGGGGUUUAUGAGUAAGGGAAGUAUUCAAAAACAUUAGUCCCAGUCUCAAGAGUGAAUUUAGCAUAUCUUUGGCCAAACUGACUCAUUUUAUGGAUCAAGACAUUCCCAAAUGGAGUUCCUGUUGUGGCUCAGUGGGUUAAGCACUGACGCAGGGAGUUCGAGUCGUGGCUCAGCAGCAACAAACCUGACGGGGUUCCAUGAGAUGCAGGUUCAAUCCUUGGCUUUGCUCAGUGGGUUAAGGAUCCAGUGUUGCUGUGAGUUGUGGUGUAGGUCGCAGAUGCAGCUGGUAUCUGGUGUUGCUGUGGCUGUGGCUGUGGCUAUGGCCGGCAGCUACAGCUCUGAUUCCACCUGUAGCCUGUGAACUUCCAUAUGCCAAAAGUUUGGCUCUAAAACACACACACACAAAAAGCGACACUGCAUCUGUGAGGAUGCAGGUUUGAUCCCAAGCCUCACUCAGUAAGGUACGAAUCCCACAUUGCCAAAAGCUGCAGCGUAGGUCGCAGAUGUGGCUUGGAUCCAGCGUUGCUGCGGCUGUGGUACAGGCUGGCAGCUGCAGCUCCAAUUCAUCCUCUAGCCCAGGAACUUCAUAUGCCACAGGUCUGGCCCUAAAAAAAAGAAAAAAGACAUUCCCUAAGAUCCUGGUUCCAAGCACGGUUUAGCAUACAAUCGCCUGGACAACCUGUUAAGGGCACAUAUUCCCAUACAGAAAGCUCUGGAAUAAGAGCCAGGAAUCAGUAUUUUCAAUGAGUAGUACAGAUCAUUUUUCUGCAGCUAGACAAGAAGAUAAGUGUAGGACAAAAGCAAUUUGUGGAGCCACUAUUUUGAAGAGCCCUGAAUGCCGUUGCUCUACAAGUCCAACACCAAAUAUGUCUCCUUGUUUGUUGACUUUCCUGGGAUAUUGGCAUGUCCUAUUAAAUUUAUCCACUAAAUGAGUGUUUAUUGCAUAUCUACCAUGGCACGAAUGAAGAAUUAGGCAAUUCCUUUGAGACCUCCUUCAAAGAAUUCAAGAUGUAGAGAAGUUCAGGUGUGGGUGCUAUGAAGCCAAACACAAAGCAGAGUGAAACAAGUGCCAGAAGGAAGGGCAACAGCAGAGAAGAAAGGGUUUAUUGAUUUUGACUGAGCUGAUCAGAGUAUACUCCAUCAAAGAGGUGGCGUUUGAACUGAACCUUAAAAGAGGAGCAGAAUUUAAAUUACAGGUGAAAGAAAGAGACAUGUUCCCUGCUGAAGGGACAGUAGAAGUAAAUUCUUAGGGGGGUAUGAAGGUAGAAGGCCUAUUUGGCUAAUAAGGAGUAAGUUCGAUUUGCUAGAAUUUAUAGAGCACAUCAUCAGGGACUGAAUCAGCAAAGGCCUUGAGCACCUUGCAAUGACAUUGGCCCUUUGUUGGUAGGCUGUGAGGAGACGCGAAAGAUUUUUAAGGAUGAAAACAGACAUGAUUUAAGCCCUGUUAUGGGAAGAGGACCCUACUGCAGCAUAAAGCAAAAAUCAAAGAGGCAAAAGACUAGAGGUGGGGACAUCAACUUACUGCUUAUUAUAAUGGUGCAAAUGAGAAAGAAUGGGGCUGAACCAGGACAAUAGCAGAGGAUGUGGAGAGGAGGGAGUUUUGACAACUCCAUUCUCAGCUUUUCCAUAUACGUUAUGCAUGUCCUUGGCCAAAGGAGUUAACCUCUCUGGGUCUGGGUUUCCUCCCCUGUAAAGGAAGAUUAAUAAUUACCUGCUAGGUCCCCUUCCCAGGAUUAUCAUGGGAUAUGUAAUAAAAUCACCUAAAGUGCUCAACAAGUACAAGGCAUUAUUAACAUUAACAACAAUAACAAAGGGAGUUCUUGUCGUGGCUCAGGGGUUAAUGAAUCUGACUAGGAACCAUGAGGUUGCGGGUUCGAUCCCUGGCCUUCUCAGUGGGUUAAGGAUCCGGCGUUGCCAGGAGCUGUGGUGUAGGUUGCAGACACAGCUCGGAUCCCUCAUUGCUGUGGCUGUGGCAUCGGCCGGUGGCUACAGUUCCAAUUAGACCCCUAGCCUGGGAACCUCCAUAUGCUGUGG